UACCAGCACCCCGAGUGGUCGGGGCGAUUAUUGGGCCUAAAGCAUCCGUAGCCGGUUCUACAAGUCUUCCGUUAAAUCCACCUGCUUAACAGAUGGGCUGCGGAGGAUACUAUGGAGCUAGGAGGCGGGAGAGGCAAGCGGUACUUAGUGGGUAGGGGUAAAAUCCGUUGAUCCAUUGAAGACCACCAGUGGCGAAGGCGGCUUGCCAGAACGCACUCGACGGUGAGGGAUGAAAGCUGGGGGAGCAAACCGG
This 253-nucleotide ribosomal RNA is filed under the name uncultured bacterium. Its description in RNAcentral is "partial 16S ribosomal RNA". It matches the Rfam family "Archaeal small subunit ribosomal RNA", at positions 474 to 727 of the family's 1478-position model. The record is from RNAcentral.